This 211-nucleotide unclassified non-coding RNA is filed under the name plant metagenome. Its description in RNAcentral is "partial contains small subunit ribosomal RNA, internal transcribed spacer 1, and 5.8S ribosomal RNA". The record is from RNAcentral.
UUUCCGUAGGUGAACCUGCGGAAGGAUCAUUCAUAAUAAAGUGUUUUAUGGCACUUUUUAAAAAUCCAUAUCCACCCUGUGUGCAAUGUUAGAUCUCGUCAAUCUUGGCGAGAUUUUUAUACAUCAACUCAUUCUUUAACUAAUUUGUCUGAAAAAUAUUAUGAAUACUUAAUUCAAAAUACAACUUUCAACAACGGAUCUCUUGGCUCUC